AUUGAACGCUGGCGGCAGGCCUAACACAUGCAAGUCGAACGGUAACAGAAAGCAGCUUGCUGCUUUGCUGACGAGUGGCGGACGGGUGAGUAAUGUCUGGGAAACUGCCUGAUGGAGGGGGAUAACUACUGGAAACGGUAGCUAAUACCGCAUAACGUCGCAAGACCAAAGAGGGGGACCUUCGGGCCUCUUGCCAUCGGAUGUGCCCAGAUGGGAUUAGCUAGUAGGUGGGGUAACGGCUCACCUAGGCGACGAUCCCUAGCUGGUCUGAGAGGAUGACCAGCCACACUGGAACGGAGACACGGUCCAGACUCCUACGGGAGGCAGCAGUGGGGAAUAUUGCACAAUGGGCGCAAGCCUGAUGCAGCCAUGCCGCGUGUAUGAAGAAGGCCUUCGGGUUGUAAAGUACUUUCGGCGGGGAGGAAGGGAGUAAAGUUAAUACCUUUGCUCAUUGACGUUACCCGCAGAAGAAGCACCGGCUAACUCCGUG
This 490-nucleotide ribosomal RNA is filed under the name uncultured bacterium. RNAcentral describes it as "partial 16S ribosomal RNA". It matches the Rfam family "Bacterial small subunit ribosomal RNA", at positions 30 to 507 of the family's 1533-position model. The record is from RNAcentral.